AGUGAACGCUGGCGGUAGGCCUAACACAUGCAAGUCGAGCGGCAGCACAGUAAGAGCUUGCUCUUACGGGUGGCGAGUGGCGGACGGGUGAGGAAUACAUCGGAAUCUACUUUUUCGUGGGGGAUAACGUAGGGAAACUUACGCUAAUACCGCAUACGACCUACGGGUGAAAGCAGGGGAUCUUCGGACCUUGCGCGAUUGAAUGAGCCGAUGUCGGAUUAGCUAGUUGGCGGGGUAAAGGCCCACCAAGGCGACGAUCCGUAGCUGGUCUGAGAGGAUGAUCAGCCACACUGGAACUGAGACACGGUCCAGACUCCUACGGGAGGCAGCAGUGGGGAAUAUUGGACAAUGGGCGCAAGCCUGAUCCAGCCAUACCGCGUGGGUGAAGAAGGCCUUCGGGUUGUAAAGCCCUUUUGUUGGGAAAGAAAAGCAGCAGGUUAAUACCCCGCUGUUCUGACGGUACCCAAAGAAUAAGCACCAGCUAACUUCGUG
This 492-nucleotide ribosomal RNA is filed under the name uncultured bacterium. RNAcentral describes it as "partial 16S ribosomal RNA". It matches the Rfam family "Bacterial small subunit ribosomal RNA", at positions 29 to 507 of the family's 1533-position model. The record is from RNAcentral.